Long non-coding RNA from Frankliniella occidentalis (western flower thrips), 171 nucleotides. RefSeq lists it as uncharacterized. NCBI's taxonomy places the organism in Eukaryota, Metazoa, Arthropoda, Insecta, Thysanoptera, Thripidae. The record is from RefSeq and is a predicted model, not a curated record. The transcript is spliced from 2 exons.
AUUUAAUUCUCUAAAUUGCCUAUUAUUUCAUGAUUCAGAGUUUUACUGAAACCAUAAAAGUAACCAUCCUUGAAUCUCUUGGAAGCUAGUGCACAACAUGGUAUGUAACAAAGCCAGCAUGCUCUGACAAAACUUAAGAGGUUUAAAAAAAAAAAAAAAAAAAAACAACAA